AUAAAGGUGUUCUCAACUAGCCUACCUGGUUAAAUAAAGGUGUUCUCAACUAGCCUACCUGGUUAAAUAAAGGUGUUCUCAACUAGCCUACCUGGUUAAAUAAAGGUGAUCUCAACUAGCCUACCUGGUUAAAUAAAGGUGAUCUCAACUAGCCUACCUGGUUAAAUAAAGGUGAUCUCAACUAGCCUACCUGGUUAAAUAAAGGUGAUCUCAACUAGCCUACCUGGUUAAAUAAAGGUGAUCUCAACUAGCCUACCUGGUUAAAUAAAGGUGAUCUCAACUAGCCUACCUGGUUAAAUAAAGGUGUUCUCAACUAGCCUACCUGGUUAAAUAAAGGUG
Long non-coding RNA from Oncorhynchus keta (chum salmon), 339 nucleotides. RefSeq lists it as uncharacterized. Lineage: Eukaryota; Metazoa; Chordata; Actinopteri; Salmoniformes; Salmonidae. The record is from RefSeq and is a predicted model, not a curated record. The transcript has 2 exons.